RNAcentral lists this long non-coding RNA (224 nucleotides) under Mytilus galloprovincialis (Mediterranean mussel). The record is from RNAcentral. Lineage: Eukaryota; Metazoa; Mollusca; Bivalvia; Mytilida; Mytilidae.
CACAGACAAAAAUGGCCAGGAUCAAGUUCCACAAACCCUUACAAAAAAAAAGUAUGAUGCUAUUUAUAAUUCAAUCACAUUUGGUGGUGAAUGACCAUUAUAAACAGCCGUGAAGGUUACAAAUAAGGGGUUUCAUAGUGUUUAUUAUCCUUUAAUUGUUGAAAUUAUAACUCUUAAAAUUUUGAUAUCAAAAGUUACCCACAUCUGAAAAUAAAGUUACAGAC